CAGCUCAAGUUUCUCUUCAUUACGUAUAAAUCUUUCGCCUUUUACUAAAGAUUUCCGUGGACGGGGGACCUUUGUGAGUUUUCCGUAUUUUUGGGGGCUCUGUUGCAAGCAGAGCU
Small nuclear RNA from Myxocyprinus asiaticus (Chinese sucker), 116 nucleotides. RefSeq annotates it as U5 spliceosomal RNA. Lineage: Eukaryota; Metazoa; Chordata; Actinopteri; Cypriniformes; Catostomidae. The record is from RefSeq and is a predicted model, not a curated record. The transcript has a single exon.